This 253-nucleotide ribosomal RNA is filed under the name uncultured bacterium. RNAcentral's name for it is "partial 16S ribosomal RNA". It matches the Rfam family "Archaeal small subunit ribosomal RNA", at positions 474 to 727 of the family's 1478-position model. The record is from RNAcentral.
UACCAGCACCCCGAGUGGUCGGGACGAUUAUUGGGCCUAAAGCAUCCGUAGCCGGUUCUACAAGUCUUCCGUUAAAUCCACCUGCUUAACAGAUGGGCUGCGGAGGAUACUAUAGAGCUAGGAGGCGGGAGAGGCAAGCGGUACUUAGUGGGUAGGGGUAAAAUCCGUUGAUCCAUUGAAGACCACCAGUAGCGAAGGCGGCUUGCCAGAACGCACUCGACGGUGAGGGAUGAAAGCUGGGGGAGCAAACCGG